Molecule: ribosomal RNA, 497 nt
Filed under: uncultured bacterium
Lineage: Bacteria
Description: partial 16S ribosomal RNA
Rfam family: Bacterial small subunit ribosomal RNA
Source: RNAcentral
GAUGAACGCUGGCGGCGUGCUUAACACAUGCAAGUCGAACGAACGGACGAGCUUCUUGCUUCCCUGAUGUUACCGGCGGACGGGUGAGUAACACGUGGAUAACCUACCUAUAAGACUGGGAUAACUUCGGGAAACCGGAUCUAAUACCGGAUCAUAUUUUGAACCCCAUGGUUCAUCAGUGCAAGACGGUCUUGCUCUCCCGUAUAGAUGGAUCCUCGCUGCAUUAGCUAGUUGGUAAGGUAACGGCUUACCAAGGCGACGAUGCGUAGCCGACCUGAGAGGAUGAUCAGCCACACUGGAACUGAGACACGGUCCAGACUCCUACGGGAGGCAGCAGUGGGGAAUCUUGGACAAUGGGCGAAAGCCUGACGGAGCAACGCCGCGUGAGUGAUGAAGGUCUUCGGGUCGUAAAGCACUGUUGGCGGGGACGAACAUGUCUGUAAGAAUAUGAGCGCUCGUUGACGGUACCUGAAGAAAAAGCCACGGCUAACUACGUG